AACGAACGCUGGCGGCAUGCCUAACACAUGCAAGUCGAACGAGAUCUUCGGGUCUAGUGGCGCACGGGUGCGUAACGCGUGGGAAUCUGCCCUUUGGUUCGGAAUAACAGUUGGAAACGACUGCUAAUACCGGAUGAUGACGAAAGUCCAAAGAUUUAUCGCCAGAGGAUGAGCCCGCGUAGGAUUAGCUAGUUGGUGUGGUAAAGGCGCACCAAGGCGACGAUCCUUAGCUGGUCUGAGAGGAUGAUCAGCCACACUGGGACUGAGAAACGGCCCAGACUCCUACGGGAGGCAGCAGUGGGGAAUAUUGGACAAUGGGCGAAAGCCUGAUCCAGCAAUGCCGCGUGAGUGAUGAAGGCCUUAGGGUUGUAAAGCUCUUUCACCCGGGAUGAUAAUGACAGUACCGGGAGAAUAAGCUCCGGCUAACUCCGUGCCAGCCGCCGCGGUAA
Molecule: ribosomal RNA, 449 nt
Filed under: uncultured bacterium
Lineage: Bacteria
Description: partial 16S ribosomal RNA
Rfam family: Bacterial small subunit ribosomal RNA
Source: RNAcentral